Molecule: RNA transcript, 1418 nt
Organism: Pleuronectes platessa (European plaice)
Lineage: Eukaryota; Metazoa; Chordata; Actinopteri; Pleuronectiformes; Pleuronectidae
Gene name: COMM domain-containing protein 7
Exons: 7
Source: RefSeq, a predicted model, not a curated record
UUCUCAAGUCCACCUGGUUGAAGACGUGUCCCCAUGAACCAAACACUGGCCCAGUCCUUGACAUGAGGUAAAGGACUGAAGGAGGAGUGAAGGUUGUUGGUUCAGGUCUGGUUUGCUCUGCUCUCAGGUCAGAGACCUUGAGGCAGCGACACUUGGUUCAAUGAGAAGAAGUGAGAAGAUGAGAAGAUCUUUGUUCCUCAUGGAAAGUGAAAACAUCUCUGUUGGAGGGUUUGGAUCCGUGCAGGAGGAACCUGUCAGCAAGUCGUUAUUUAUUUAUUAUUCCUCUAAAAGUGUGUGGACAGUGUCUCCGGGCCGGACUCGUCCCUCAAGCGCGUGGCGGUGGUGGAGGACUUCUUCUCCAUCAUCUUCUCCAUGCACGUGGAGAUCAGCAGCGAUCCGGCCAAAGCUCCCAAACACGCCGGCCAGAAGAAAACCUACAAAGCUAUUGCAGAGACGUACGCCUUCCUGCCCAGAGAGGCGGUGACCCACUUCCUGAUGAGCUGUGGCGAGUGUCAGAAGAGGAUGCACAUCAGCUCCACAGGACCAGACUUCAGAGACGGAGAGGUUCAUGCAGCAGCUCACAGACUUCGCGGGGGAACAGGGGAUGAGCUCCGCUCCUCUGAGGAACCUGAUGAAGAGCGUCCUCCUGGUGCCGCAGGGAGAGUCUGGAUCUGGAGAACCGGACCAGGUGGAAACAUAGAAGAGAAGAUAGGUUCUGAAAGUGAACCUCGUUGUGGACGUAGCUUUAGUAGAAACUCUCUGAAGACAGAACCUGGUUCAUCUCCUGCUGUCCAACUCAAAGGUCGAGGACAAACGAUCAGUGAUCAGGAGGAAGAAGAGAGAAGCUUCAUGCUCAGUGGUUCUGCUCAGGUUCCCACAGCACCCAGAACCUCACAGCUGGGACAGGUCAGGUCUAGAUCCAGUAAAGUGUCCCACAGCACUCAGAACCUCACAGCUGGGACAGGUCAGGUCCAGAUCCAGUAAAGUGUCCCACAGCAGUCAGAACCUCUCAGCUGGGACAGGUCAGGUCCAGAUCCAGUUCCAGUAAAGGGUCCCACAGCACUCAGAACCUCACAGCUGGGACAGGUCAGGUCCAGAUCCAGUAAAGUGUCCCACAGCACCCAGAACCUCUCAGCUGGGACAGGUCAGGUCCAGAUCCAGUUCCAGUAAAGGGUCCCACAGCACUCAGAACCUCUCAGCUGGGACAGGUCAGGUCCAGAUCCAGUAAAGUGUCCCACAGUGACUCAGAUUCUUCUGCUCUGUCCCAGGAGCCCUGAAGAAGAACCUGGCAGCUGAGCUGAUCGGAGAGGACCUGGUCACGUUAGGACUCAGCGAGGACAAGGCGUCUCACUUCUCACAGCAGUGGGCGGAGCACCAGGAGGCGCUGUCCCGACAGGCGGUCAGUCAGGCGCUGAUGG